This 83-nucleotide transfer RNA is filed under the name Lentinula guzmanii. It matches the Rfam family "tRNA". Rfam says of the family: Transfer RNA (tRNA) molecules are approximately 80 nucleotides in length. Their secondary structure includes four short double-helical elements and three loops (D, anti-codon, and T loops). Further hydrogen bonds mediate the characteristic L-shaped molecular structure. tRNAs have two regions of fundamental functional importance: the anti-codon, which is responsible for specific mRNA codon recognition, and the 3' end, to which the tRNAs corresponding amino acid is attached (by aminoacyl-tRNA synthetases). tRNAs cope with the degeneracy of the genetic code in two manners: having more than one tRNA (with a specific anti-codon) for a particular amino acid; and 'wobble' base-pairing, i.e. permitting non-standard base-pairing at the 3rd anti-codon position. Lineage: Eukaryota; Fungi; Basidiomycota; Agaricomycetes; Agaricales; Omphalotaceae. The record is from Rfam by way of RNAcentral.
UCCUCCUUAGCUCAGUUGGUAGAGCGCGUCACUCGUAUGAAGUUGAGAUGACGAGGUCAGUCGUUCAAGUCGGCUAGGGGGAA